GAUAACCAACACCUGAUUUGAUGUUGGUUUGGGGCAUCCAAAAUGGGUAUAGGAGUGGGUGCAAAGUGGAUGUCAUAAGUGAUGGUAAUUUUAUCUUAUAUAGAAAUCCUUCUUUCAUGAGUAUUGGACUGAUUCAAAUCAGAUUUGAGUUAAGAGUCCUGCUCUCAUUAGGUCAUGAGAAUCAUCUAUAUUAUAGAGGAUCUCUAUCUAUGGAUGGAUAGAAAAUAAAUUAGAUUGAGAGAAGAG
This 246-nucleotide long non-coding RNA is filed under the name Elaeis guineensis (African oil palm). Its description in RNAcentral is "long non-coding RNA (EGUI_LNC057334)". The record is from RNAcentral. Lineage: Eukaryota; Viridiplantae; Streptophyta; Magnoliopsida; Arecales; Arecaceae.